Molecule: long non-coding RNA, 1163 nt
Organism: Oreochromis niloticus (Nile tilapia)
Lineage: Eukaryota; Metazoa; Chordata; Actinopteri; Cichliformes; Cichlidae
Exons: 4
Source: RefSeq, a predicted model, not a curated record
CCCGCAACCAGAGCAUUCUCUUUUUCCUUCUUGUUCGUUCCCCGGCUCAUCCCCGAAUGCUGCUUACCUCGUUUGAAAUUUGCGCCGGAGAUCCACUCCGCCUCCCAGGUGCCCCGCUGCCAAUCACAUAACAAAAGGGGCGGCUCCAUUCGCACCCCGCUCACCCAAUCGCGCUCAGCUUGGAUUUUCACGAUCCCCCCGCUCAGGUUAAGACUGGCGUCCUCUCUCACAAGCCGUCUGACUUCCGACGCGUGGACAACUACCUCCACUCAGACUGAAUCCACAAAUAAUACCCCGGUCUCCAGACCACUUCAACAGCUGCCUCCACUCAGAGCGAAUCCACAAUAUUACCCCGGUCUCCAGACGACUUCGACAAUUGGCGGCACUUUUACCUGGGUGCAUAUCAAUCGACUCUGAAAUAAGCCUGCUUGAUUCUUCUCUUUUGGAUCAUCUCGAUCAAAUCGACAUAUCGGAUUUGGAUAACUAUGUUUUUUCGAGUUCACCUAGUUCUUCGCCCAGUUCUUCACCACCACCGGUUUUAGAGCGAGCUACAGGCAAGAACAUCCGUCUCUCGACCCGCGAGAGACAGGCUUUGCUUUCUGCAAGGGCUUGCCCAGCUUCAUCCACCUCUGCCGGCGCUUCAGCUCCACCGUGCCCCGGGGGGAAAAACCUGAAUCUAACCGCCCGGGAGAGGGAACAACUGUUCGCGGCACACGCUCCAGUCCUGGCUUCGGAGCUUCAGCUCCCCAGCGUGCCUCGGGGAAAAACCUGAAUCUAACCGCCCGGGAGAGGGAACAACUGUUCGCGGCACAUGCUCCCAGUCCCGGCUUCGGAGCUUCAGCUCCCCAGCGUGCCUCGGGGAAAAACCUGAAUCUAACCGCCCGGGAGAGGGAACAACUGUUCGCGGCACACGCUCCCAGUCCCGGCUUCGGAGCUUCUCCUCCUGCAUCGGGGCCAAGACAUCCACAGCCCCUGCCUCGGAGAUCCAAUCUAGGGCAUCUCAGAAGGAGGCGUAGGAGGACCAUUAGGCCACUCAGGACAAGGCAAACACGCAGACAGCGAAACCAGCUCGCCUCCAUCGCUCUUCGAGCUGUAUCACUGUUCGCUGAAUUAGUACAACUCAUCUUAUAAUAAGGUUUUAUUUUAUUUUAUUGUUUUUAUUU